RNAcentral lists this unclassified non-coding RNA (205 nucleotides) under plant metagenome. RNAcentral describes it as "partial contains small subunit ribosomal RNA and internal transcribed spacer 1". The stretch from base 1 to 46 matches the Rfam family "Eukaryotic small subunit ribosomal RNA", at positions 1786 to 1831 of the family's 1831-position model. The record is from RNAcentral.
AAGUCGUAACAAGGUUUCCGUAGGUGAACCUGCGGAAGGAUCAUUAAUGAAUUUGGGUGCUCUUCGAGAGGCCCGACCUUCAUCCUUCUACCCUGUGCACUAUUCAUUGUAGUCUGUUGAGGUGUAAUGCCUCAUAUACAACAGCUACAAUCAUUUUUUAACACCACAGGUCUAAGAAUGUUACAAAUAUAUAAAUCAAAUAAAA